Phrynosoma platyrhinos (Desert horned lizard) is the source of this 72-nucleotide non-coding RNA. The record is from the annotation of a GenBank genome assembly. NCBI's taxonomy places the organism in Eukaryota, Metazoa, Chordata, Lepidosauria, Squamata, Phrynosomatidae.
GACAGCAUGGUGUAGUGGUUUGAGCAUUGGACUAUGACUCUGGAGACCAGGGUUUGAUUCCCUGCUCAGCCA